GACGAACGCUGGCGGCGUGCUUAACACAUGCAAGUCGAACGAUGAAGUUCCUUCGGGAAUGGAUUAGUGGCGAACGGGUGAGAAACACGUGAGAAACCUGCCUUUCAUUUUGGGAUAACUCCGGGAAACCGGAGCUAACACCGAAUACUCCGUCUCGGCGGCAUCGCUGAGCCGGGAAAAAAUUUUGAUGAAAGAUGGUCUCGCGGCCUAUCAGCUAUUUGGGCAGGGAAGGGCUCACCAAGGCGACGAAGGGUAGCCGGCCUGAGAGGGCGCCCGGCCACACUGGGACUGAGACACGGCCCAGACUCCUACGGGAGGCAGCAGUGGGGAAUAUUGGGCAAUGGGCGCAAGCCUGACCCAGCGACGCCGCGUGAGGGAUGAAGGCCUUCGGGUUGUAAACCUCUUUCAGUAGGGAAGAAGCGAAAGUGACGGUACCUAUAGAAGAAGCACCGGCUAACUAUGUGCCAGCAGCCGCGGUAA
This 480-nucleotide ribosomal RNA is filed under the name uncultured bacterium. RNAcentral describes it as "partial 16S ribosomal RNA". It matches the Rfam family "Bacterial small subunit ribosomal RNA", at positions 28 to 523 of the family's 1533-position model. The record is from RNAcentral.